RNAcentral lists this ribosomal RNA (1243 nucleotides) under metagenome. Its description in RNAcentral is "bacterial LSU rRNA". It matches the Rfam family "Bacterial large subunit ribosomal RNA", at positions 1564 to 2816 of the family's 2925-position model. The record is from RNAcentral.
UGAGUACGAGAUGCUACGGCGUCGAAGCAGUGUAUGUCAGACUUCCAAGAAAAGCUUGCAAUGUCUUAAAUAAAUAAUGCCUGUACCAUAACCGACACAGGUGGGUAGGUAGAGUAUACUAAGGGGCGCGAGAUAACUCUCUCUAAGGAACUCGGCAAAAUAACUCCGUAACUUCGGGAGAAGGAGUGCCUUAUUUAAUAAGGUUGCAAUAACAAGAUCCAAGCAACUGUUUAUCAAAAACACAGGUCUCCGCUAAGUCGUAAGACGAUGUAUGGGGGCUGACGCCUGCCCAGUGCCAGAAGGUUAAAGAAGUUGGUUAGCUUCGGCGAAGCUGAUGACUGAAGCCCUGGUGAACGGCGGCCGUAACGAUAACGGUCCUAAGGUAGCGAAAUUCCUUGUCGGGUAAGUUCCGACCCGCACGAAAGGCGUAAUGAUUUGGAUACUGUCUCGGAGAGGGGCUCGGUGAAAUAGACUUGUCUGUGAAGAUGCGGACUACCUGCACCAGGACAGAAAGACCCCAUGAAGCUUUACUGUAACUUGAGAUUGAAAUUGGACUUUAUUUGCGCAGCAUAGGUGGGAGGCGUUGAGAAUAUUCUUGCGGGAAUAUUGGAGCCAUCAGUGAGAUACCACUCCUAUAAUGUUAGAUUUCUAACUUUGUAUCAUUAUCUGGUCAAAGAACAGUUUCAGGCGGGCAGUUUGACUGGGGCGGUCGCCUCCUAAAUGGUAACGGAGGCGUACAAAGGUUUCCUCUGAACGGGUAGAAAUCGUAUCUAGAGUGUAAAGGCAUAAGGAAGCUUGACUGUGAGACCUACAAGUCGAGCAGGGACGAAAGUCGGUCUUAGUGAUCUGACGGUGCUGAGUGGAAAGGCCGUCACUCAACGGAUAAAAGUUACUCUAGGAUAACAGGCUGAUCUCCCCCAAGAGUUCACAUCGACGGGGAGGUUUGGCACCUCGAUGUCGGCUCAUCGCAUCCUGGGGCGGUAGUACGUCCCAAGGGUUGGGCUGUUCGCCCAUGAAAGCGGUACGCGAGCUGGGUUCAGAACGUCGUGAGACAGUUCGGUCCAUAUCCGGUGUAGGCGUUAGAAUAUUGAGAGGAGCCUUCUUUAGUACGAGAGGACCGAGAAGGACAUACCUCUGGUGUACCAGUUAUCGUGCCAACGGUAAACGCUGGGUAGCUAUGUAUGGAGAGGAUAACCGCUGAAAGCAUCUAAGUGGGAAGCCCACCUCAAGAUGAGUAUUCCCA